CUACGGGACGCAGCAGUGAGGAAUAUUGGUCAAUGGGCGCAAGCCUGAACCAGCCAAGUAGCGUGAAGGAUGACUGCCCUCUGGGUUGUAAACUUCUUUUAUAGGGGAAUAAAGUGCGCCACGUGUGGCGUUUUGUAUGUACCCUACGAAUAAGGACCGGCUAACUCCGUGCCAGCAGCCGCGGUAAUACGGAGGGUCCGAGCGUUAUCCGGAUUUAUUGGGUUUAAAGGGUGCGCAGGCGGGAUGAUAAGUCAGUUGUGAAAGUUGGACGCUCAACGUUCAAAUUGCAAUUGAAACUGUCAUUCUUGAGUGCAGUGGAGGUAAGUGGAAUUCGUGGUGUAGCGGUGAAAUGCUUAGAUAUCACGAAGAACUCCGAUUGCGAAGGCAACUUGCUAUACUGCAACUGACGCUCAUGCACGAAGGUGUGGGUAUCAAACAGGAUUAGAUACCCUAGUAGUC
RNAcentral lists this ribosomal RNA (459 nucleotides) under uncultured bacterium. RNAcentral's name for it is "partial 16S ribosomal RNA". It matches the Rfam family "Bacterial small subunit ribosomal RNA", at positions 339 to 795 of the family's 1533-position model. The record is from RNAcentral.